GUAAUAACUCCGCCUGUAGCCCCUCCAAGGGCUACUUCCGGUCCCAAGCCCGGAUAAAGGAGGAGGGCUGG
RNAcentral lists this non-coding RNA (71 nucleotides) under Schistosoma mansoni. Lineage: Eukaryota; Metazoa; Platyhelminthes; Trematoda; Strigeidida; Schistosomatidae. The record is from RNAcentral.